Molecule: ribosomal RNA, 494 nt
Filed under: uncultured bacterium
Lineage: Bacteria
Description: bacterial SSU rRNA
Rfam family: Bacterial small subunit ribosomal RNA
Source: RNAcentral
AGAGUUUGAUCAUGGCUCAGAUUGAACGCUGGCGGCAUGCCUUACACAUGCAAGUCGAACGGGGGUAGCAAUACCCUAGUGGCGAACGGGUGAGUAGUGCAUCGGAACGUGCCCAAUUGUGGGGGAUAACGUAGCGAAAGUUACGCUAAUACCGCAUAAGUCCUGAGGGAGAAAGCGGGGGAUCUUCGGACCUCGCGCGAUUGGAGCGGCCGAUGUCGGAUUAGCUAGUUGGUAGGGUAAAAGCCUACCAAGGCGACGAUCCGUAGCUGGUCUGAGAGGAUGAUCAGCCACACUGGGACUGAGACACGGCCCAGACUCCUACGGGAGGCAGCAGUGGGGAAUUUUGGACAAUGGGCGCAAGCCUGAUCCAGCCAUGCCGCGUGAGUGAAGAAGGCCUUCGGGUUGUAAAGCUCUUUCGGCCGGGAAGAAAACGCACGGGUUAAUAACCUGUGUGGAUGACGGUACCGGAAGAAUAAGCACCGGCUAACUUCGUG